Molecule: ribosomal RNA, 243 nt
Filed under: Triticum aestivum (bread wheat)
Lineage: Eukaryota; Viridiplantae; Streptophyta; Magnoliopsida; Poales; Poaceae
Description: partial small subunit ribosomal RNA
Source: RNAcentral
UCUUAUAUAUACAAGAAAAAAAAGUUUUGUUUGGUAUACUGUGUGCUAAGUAUUCUUUUCCUAUCAAUGAACUUUUCAUAAUUUUCAUAAUAGAAUAUGAGGAUUCUAUUAUGAAAAUUAUGAAAAGUGGAGUAUUCUUACAAUAGGACUUACAACUUCCACCUAUCUUCUCCAAAAUCAUAAGGUUAGUAAAUCUUAUUAAUAAGAGCAUAAAGACUUUCAUUCUAGAAAUUUUUAAAAAAU